UUUAUGUAAGGAAAUAUUAGUUGGAAACAAUUCUAAUUUUUAAUGAAUUCUUCUCCCAUCCAAACAAAGAAUUUGAAAUUUCAAAUGAAUUAUGUAUCAAUUCUAUGCAUUAUCCAAACAAAAGAAUUCAAAUGUUUUGGAAUUCCAAUUCAUAGAAUUCUAAUUCUAUAGAAUUCCAAUUCCAAUGCAAUUCCAAUUCUGUAGAACCAAACGAACCCUUAGAAAUCUCCCCAACCUUUUGACAGAGUUGGAGCAGACCAAGUCCAGGUGUCCAACUAAGCGUCGCUAGUCCACCUUACUCCAGUGGAUAUCAGAACACUUGAACUUAACCAAAACGUAAUUGGGAAACGAAAACUUCAAAAAAAAAAAAAAAAAAAAAGAAGAAGAAAAGAAGAAAAAAGUAAGCAGAAGAAACUACCACUCGAAAUCCUUGAAUCAAACCCUAAUCGAAGAAUCCAAAUCUUUCAGGUAACUGAUUUUCCCAGUAAUAUUCUUUACUUUUAUUCUCUGUUUUGUUUUUGGUUUCGGCAUGAUAUGUUAAUUACAGUCUUAAUCGUUUUCUUUUCUGGAACAAGUAGAUUCAAAUUCUAGGUCUGUAAAUUAUGAGGACCUUGAAUAUUUAUCCUUUUUUGGUUUAUUUUUGUGAGAAUCAUAGCUUAGGUUGUUUGUAAUUGUGAAAAGAUAUUGCCCAAGUGCCCUUUAAUCUGCAAGUGGUGAUAAUUUUAAUUGUUCUGGAAAUGAAGAUCAUAAACUCACUAGGGUUCAUAAAGAAAACGAAAAAGAAAAAAAAGUAAUGCUGAUCAUUAAUUGUAUAUUAAGAACAGUUUUAUACAAAAAAUAAUUGGGAGUAGUAUUUUGGCGUUUAAAUUAAAAAACUGUUUCUAUAUCCUUGUGAUGGAGCAAUUAUGUUGGAGAAAUGCUUGUCUUCCUUUUUGGGGCUUGGGGGUCAUGUAUAUGUAGUUUUUGAAUUCAAUGGCGGGUAAUGAAGGUAUGGAAAGUAGAUGGAUGUUUCACCAGCAGAAUUUUGUGGUUUGUCGUUGAGGGAAAUGGGUUAUAGGUUGCUUAGCAACUACACUGGUUGGAUUUUGCUUCCUACACGGAGGCACAAGGAUGAAUGUGUAAGAGUUUGCUUAGCAAUUUCCCUGUUACUGCUUUUUUGCAUCAUGAUCAUUUGUGAUUUUGUACUCUUUUUUGCAAUAAUUACACCUUCUAACCCUUCAUUGAACUCCCUCUUUGGUAAAUUAAGGUGAAAAACUAUAAAAGAACAGAAAUAAUAAUUACACCUUCUAACCCUUCAUUGAACUCCCUCUUUGGUAAAUUAAGGUGAAAAACUAUAAAAGAACAGAAAAAAGGAAGGAGUAGAUGGAUUUAGCAGACAAGGCC
RNAcentral lists this long non-coding RNA (1383 nucleotides) under Coffea arabica (coffee). RNAcentral's name for it is "long non-coding RNA (CARA_LNC005851)". The record is from RNAcentral. Lineage: Eukaryota; Viridiplantae; Streptophyta; Magnoliopsida; Gentianales; Rubiaceae.